UCACCGCCUCGCCCCGCCCAGACCGGAUGACGGAGCGUUCCGGGAGCCUCUGGCCCGGGCCUCCCCAGCCUGGCGCGCGCGGUCAAGGCUCAUCCAGCAAAGGCAGGAAGAAGUAGUUUUCCCAGGCUGUGGAACGGUUUGGGAGGCCGUGUUCCAUGAGAACUCCACGCUCUCCCCGGCAUACGCCCUGGGGUCCCAGCUUAGCUGCAAAGUAAAAGAUGUGCACCAGGAGCAGAGUAGGAGCCAGGCACAAGAAGCAUCACUUUGGGAGAGGAAGACGGCUGAUUCUGUAUCUGAGACAGAGAAAACACAAGGCAAGCCCAGAAUAUCUUAUUGUGCGAGAAUACAGUGAGAUGCUCAAAGAAUGGCAGAGGUGAGAAAGGACACAGACUGAAAGCGAUCCUUCUGGCCAAAUUUGGGACAAGUGGAGCUUCGGCCGAAUGAGUCCAAGGAACUUCCUGUACUUCCCACUUGGAGAGAAGGGGGAGCAGAAGCCCCCCCAGGGGCACGAGCCAGGUCAGCUGCUGUCACUGGAGAGACAUGGCUGGACAGCUGGCAUCACAGGCUGAGGCCCACCCACACUGAGGAGGGGGCAAUCUGCUUUAUCCAGUCCACAUACCCAAACGUGAAUCUCUGCGGAAACACCCUCGCGGACACACUCAGAAAUACCGUUUACCCAGCGCCUGGGUGCCCUGGGAGCCAGCAAGUUGAUGUGUAAAGUUAAGCACCACACGCGGUACGCCUGACCGCUCGGCUAAUGUGCCGGCGCCUCUGUCCUCAACGUGUUGGAAACAACGUCGGCUUGCAAAGCUUAACUCACUCUCACCUCUGAUCUUUCCAAGAAUACUCCUUAACAUUGUGUACAACUGUGCAGCCGUUUCUCUCGCGCUCCUUGCUGCCGUUAGGGAAAACACAGACGAGAAGUCCCUCCUGCAUGCUAAACUUGGCCUCAUCUGAUCAUCCGAGCAGCUCUUCUCGGUCUCUUGGGUGGCCAUCUCCUCCUUCCUCACACCUGGCGUGGAGGUGACAGGUGUCUAGAAGUCAUGGAAGAAGAAAGUGUGAGGGUGGCUGGGGCAGGUUCUCUGCUCACCCGCGGCUUCUACCGUGUUUUGUCGGGUUCCCCACGGACCUCCUAAGCUCCUUCUUGGAGGGAAAAGAAACAGGAUUGAGCACGAAACGACAUGUCAUUAUUUCAGGGGCAGUCACGCCUGGAUGACUCUACGUGGCUGUAGGCUACCCCAUCUCCUCUAAAAUAUAAUGAAAUUGAAGGGAAAAAAAGGCUAAACACCCCAAAACCUGAAGAGAAAGGUGAUCAGGGUGUCAAAGGUCAAAGGUAUGCAGUGGCACGCUUAAUGCAUUUUCCUAUCUUCUCAGUAUCUUUCUCACUGAAAAAUCUGAUGACGAGUUGGCCAGUUUUUGUUUUAAAUAAAACAGAUUUGAGUCAGAGGCCAUCUAUCUUAUCUGUGCCUUGCUCUCCCACAAAGAAAACAUCUUAGCAAUUUCCAUACGAAGGUACAAUUUCUUACCCAGUCUAGAGCAUCUCUUCUUAAACAUUAUGACCUCAUGCAGAAUGUUUUACACGUAUCUAUUCAGACUUUAAUAAAAACAGCCACCACUUA
Molecule: long non-coding RNA, 1619 nt
Organism: Neofelis nebulosa (Clouded leopard)
Lineage: Eukaryota; Metazoa; Chordata; Mammalia; Carnivora; Felidae
Exons: 5
Source: RefSeq, a predicted model, not a curated record